Molecule: long non-coding RNA, 286 nt
Filed under: Homo sapiens (human)
Lineage: Eukaryota; Metazoa; Chordata; Mammalia; Primates; Hominidae
Description: HSALNT0381724
Source: RNAcentral
GCGGGAUCAGUUGGAGGACAGUGUGACCUGGAGGAAAGAAUGCCAGGCUUCUGACUCUGCCAGGAGCCAGCAGUGGAAUGUCAGCAAGUCCCUUGCCGUGUUUCUGCUUCUGUUUUCUAAUCUGUAAGUCGAAAUAAGAAUGUCUAACUCCACACAGGGUUGGCAGUGGGAUGAGGCCGUAUAUGUGAGAGCACUUUGGGAAGAAAUAAAUAACGACAUUUGUCGUACAUAAGAUGUCACUCCUAAGAGUGGACUUCACAAGAAAGGAAGUGUGUUUGAUCUCAGC